Molecule: long non-coding RNA, 1082 nt
Filed under: Anas platyrhynchos platyrhynchos (common mallard)
Lineage: Eukaryota; Metazoa; Chordata; Aves; Anseriformes; Anatidae
Description: lncRNA (ENSAPLG00000025957.1)
Source: RNAcentral
GAAAAAUCAGCCUACUGUUGGUAUUUCCUUGUCCUGAUCUUCCUAGAAGAUUUAAAAUGCAUCUUCUUUUUCAGCUGCGUGAAAUCUGGUAAUGUUUUCCCUGAAAGAAACCUUAGGAAUUAACUACACCUUUGAGACAGCACAACGAGGCUGGAGUCCACUCCCAUCGAUGCCACUGGAGGUUACACCAUAAAGGGGGAUUGCUACAAUUAUUUUCUACAUUCCCAUUGAAUGUCCAUACAUCCUAGUAGAAUAGAAACAGCAUCUCCUUUCCUGGUGGUGCGGACUUGGCCUCCAAAGCCACCUCUUGCUGCAACAUUUUUCUCCUGAGGCUCAGCUUGCACUUCCAUGUGGUUCCUAGCCUUAAGAGUCACUAAUGAGAGCGAGCAAUGCGCAGACCAGCUCUGUCAUCUGAGCAAACCCCCUAAUGCUUCCACGGACAUUUAAUUAAGCAGAUUCCUGUCAUGCUUUUGGUGCUGGUUUUGGUACCAUCCCAGAGCCCAGAAGAACCUCAGGACAGGCUGGACCAGUAUUACAGAACGGUUUGGAAGAAACAUCCUUGAGGAAAGAAGGUUGGUGUUUUCAUCUUCCAAGGAAUGAGGGAAGACAAUCUCAAGGAUGUUCACCCAGAGCUCCUGGUACAUAACGGUUUGGUUUUACUUCUUUGGGAGGAUUCUUAUGUUAGCUGAUAGAGCUUUGCUAAAACCGGAGAGGAUAGGAAGAAAGCUGGUCAAACUAUUGGAGUACACACUGACGGCUAGGAAAUGUCCAUGCAACUCUUGACAGGGUUUUUCAGGCCUGUCUUGUUCACUGCUGUAAAACUGUUUCCCAAAUGAAUAAGUGGGAACUGAUGUGAUAAAUAGAUAUUUGUGUGCUGCUGAACUAUACCCAGGGAGUGCAGCCAAAGUUAUUUUGAAGACGUGUUUUAUUCACCUUGUUGAGAGUGUUUGUUUUUGUUUUUUCCACUUUGUUUCAAAUGAAUUUUUGGAUGAUAAUUUUAAGAUAUCAAUCUUAAAAUUCCCCUUUCUGGAAGAAGAGGACAUAGAAAUAAAUGCAAAAAAAAAAAAAAAAAAAAGAAAAAA